UACUACCGAAGCUACGGCAUCAGUAAUGAUGGGUAGGGGAGCUUCCCAUACGGGUUGAAGCAUGACCGUAAGGACAUGUGGACAGUAUGGGAGUGAGAAUGUUGGCAUGAGUAGCGAGAUGUGGGGGGGAAUACCAAAGGCCGGAAACCCAAGGUUUCCAGGGGAAGGUUCGUCAACCCUGGGGUAGUCGGGACCUAAGCUGAGGCCGAAAGGCGUAGGUGAUGGACAACAGGUUGAUAUUCCUGUACUACCGAUAACCGUUUGAGAGAAGGGAUGACACAGUAGGAUAAGCUAAGCACACUGUUGGUUAUGUGUGCCCAAGCAUUGAGGCAGUCAA
Molecule: ribosomal RNA, 337 nt
Filed under: Clostridioides difficile
Lineage: Bacteria; Bacillati; Bacillota; Clostridia; Peptostreptococcales; Peptostreptococcaceae
Description: bacterial LSU rRNA
Rfam family: Bacterial large subunit ribosomal RNA
Source: RNAcentral